Molecule: ribosomal RNA, 552 nt
Filed under: Sibogasyrinx clausura
Lineage: Eukaryota; Metazoa; Mollusca; Gastropoda; Neogastropoda; Turridae
Description: partial small subunit ribosomal RNA
Source: RNAcentral
GUUAUACCAAGAAAUUAAGUCAUAUUUAAAUAGUAAAAAGGCAGUUAGACAGAUAUUUAGGCUUAUUAACUAUUUAUAAAAAGGUAAAAUUUAAAUAUAAUUAUGAAAACUAAAUAUAGCUUAUGUCGUUGAAGCUGCGAUAGCCUUGAGGGAAACUGGGAUCGGAUACCCCAUUAUUCUUGGUUGUAAAUUUAAUAAAGUUUACUAGAGUACUAUGAAUAUCAAAAUUUAAAACUCAAAGGGCUUGGCGGUAUUUUAGACCUAUCAGGGGAACCUGUCUCAUAAUCGACAAUCCACGUUAAACCUAACCUCCUUUUGUCUACAGUUUGUAUACCGUCGUCGUCAGGUAACUUCUAAAAAACUAAAAGUUAGCUAAAAAACGUUAUGGUUAUAACGCCAGAUCAAGGUGCAGCUAAUAAGGAGGGGAAGAUGGGUUACAAUUAUUUAGUCAUAAUAACGGAUAAUCACAAUAAUAAAAGGUUAUGAAGGAGGACUUGAAAGUAAAUUAAAUUAUAUAAAUAAUUUGAAUAAGGCUCUGAAAUGUGCACACAU